This 253-nucleotide ribosomal RNA is filed under the name uncultured bacterium. RNAcentral describes it as "partial 16S ribosomal RNA". It matches the Rfam family "Bacterial small subunit ribosomal RNA", at positions 524 to 776 of the family's 1533-position model. The record is from RNAcentral.
UACGAAGGGUGCAAACGUUGCUCGGAAUUAUUGGGCGUAAAGCGCACGUAGGCGGCAUUGCAAGUCGGAUGUGAAAUCUUAUGGCUUAACCAUAAAAGUGCAUCCGAAACUGCAGUGCUUGAGUACUUAAGAGGAUCGCGGAAUUCCCGGUGUAGAGGUGAAAUUCGUAGAUAUCGGGAGGAACACCAGUGGCGAAGGCGGCGACCUGGGAAGAUACUGACGCUGAGGUGCGAAAGCGUGGGGAGCAAACAGG